GGGGUUCAGACCUUAGUACGAGAGGACCGGGUCUGACGAACCGCUGGUGUUCCAGUUGUUCUGUCAAGAGCAGUGCUGGGUAGCUAUGUUCGGAAAGGAUAAGCGCUGAAAGCAUCUAAGCGCCAAGCCUAUCCCAAGAUGAGAUCUCCCUGAAGGGUCGUGGUAGACUACCACGUUGAUAGGUCUCCGGUGCAAGUGCAGUAAUGUAUUCAGCUGAGAGAUACUAAUAACCCGUUCGGCUUGAUCAUUUACUUUUCU
This 258-nucleotide ribosomal RNA is filed under the name Verrucomicrobiota bacterium. RNAcentral describes it as "Verrucomicrobia bacterium partial 23S ribosomal RNA". It matches the Rfam family "Bacterial large subunit ribosomal RNA", at positions 2666 to 2925 of the family's 2925-position model. The record is from RNAcentral. Lineage: Bacteria; Pseudomonadati; Verrucomicrobiota.